Molecule: long non-coding RNA, 1548 nt
Organism: Anser cygnoides (Swan goose)
Lineage: Eukaryota; Metazoa; Chordata; Aves; Anseriformes; Anatidae
Source: Ensembl
AUGGGGACACACGGUGGGCAGCUGUCCCUGCCCUGCGGUGCCACGGCUGGUGACUUGCUGUCCUCUGUCCCCUCCCGCAGCAGUAACUGUGACCUGGACUACGAUCUCUACAGGGACGACUUCCCGUACCGGGUGUACGAGUACCAGAAGAUCCCACCCCUCAUUAACCGCAUCCCCGUCAAGGCCAGGAGAACUCACGCAGGAGCAGGAGGCAAAAGCAGCCCGAGCCCCCAGCCCGGGGCACGGAGCAGCAGCAGCAGCAGCUCCACGGGGACACGGACAAAACUGCGAGCCGAGGAGCUGCACUCCAUCAAGGGGGAGCUGAGCCAGAUCAAGGCGCAGGUGGACAGCCUGCUGGAGAGCCUGGACCGCAUGGACCAGCGGAGAGAGCGGCUCUCGGGGUGCAAGGAGAGUGAGAAGAAGAGGGCGGAGGUGGGCGCAGCGUCGCCGUCCCCGGUGGGAGAGGGCUCCCGGGGCAAGGAGGGGACAGGAGGGGACGGGCGCAGUGACCUGCGCACCAUCGACAGCGCGGAGGAGAGCACGGACACAGAGGAGACGGUAAGGCGGGGGCCAGCUGCCUUCCCCCAACUCCCUGCUUUGCCAAAACCGGGUCCUGGUGGGCUCUGGAAGGGACGCUCCGUGCUCCCUGGGGUGCACCCGAGGACCCCGCUCUGCUUUUCUCCUUGCAGAUGAAAACGCACAUCUCGGACCCCGAGGGGAGCCACUAGACGGACUGGGUAUGCUGGAGCCUUCCCGGUGUGCCAGCAGCUCCUGUCUUGUGUCCGUCUUUCUUUCGAGGCUUCCAGCUCGUGCCACGCUGGUGCCAGGUGCCCGCUCCCAGCACUCACGUCCCCUGCCAUGGUGCCAGCAGCCCCGUGUCCCACCCUGGCCAGCCACGGUGAGAGAAGUCUGUGUUUGAGUGCGCUUUGGGUUUGUUUUUGGUUUUUUUGUUCCUCCUGUUUUCCAGCUAGGGAUAAGUACACAGGGAAGGGAGGGUUGGAGGGCAGAAGGCCCACAUCCCGAAGGAGCAGCAGCCUGGAGCAGAAAUCCACGGUGUCCUCCUUCCUUGGAUAAAGUGUCCCAUACACACCGGUCACAUCCCGAGCCCUUGCCCCCCAGGCGUGCCCCCAGCUGCCUGCACACUCGAGGGUGGGCUCGUGCUGCUGGAGGUGACCGCCCUAAAGAGGAACCAGAGGGGCUCUCAGCACAGCACAAAGCCACAGCCCCGUGCCACCAGCGCCAUGGCACAGGGCCCGGCGGCUCCCAGUCGCCCGUGCUCACAACUGGGUUUUCCUUACUGGUUCCCCAAGGACUCCCACCGCGCUCCUGUCGGCAGGACGGAGCCUCUGCCCCGGGAAGUCGCGCCCCCAGCCCCACUCCCCCCGUCCCGCAGAGCUGUGCCACGUGUCCGUGUCCCUCGUUUCUAGGUCGUCCUUCUCGCUGGUAGGAAGUUGUUCUGUAUCUCUAAUUUGCUCCGGUAAAAGAGUGUAUUGUGUUGGAAAGGAAAAAAAAAAUAAAAUUUGUAUUUCUUUUCUCUGGUUAUUUGAC